Molecule: long non-coding RNA, 1554 nt
Organism: Phasianus colchicus (ring-necked pheasant)
Lineage: Eukaryota; Metazoa; Chordata; Aves; Galliformes; Phasianidae
Source: Ensembl
AUGAACCCACUCUUUUUCGUGGGAGCGCUGAGUAAGGGAUUAAAAGCUAUGGUGUUACUCGCAACCUACUGGCCAAUCAUCAAUAUCAUAAUUACUUGUUGUGGAAUUGUGUUCAUAUAUAACCACAUAAGGGCACUGAUGGAGACGCCUGUAUGGUACCUAUAUUGGUACCUAUAUGCAAUGUGGUAUAAUAUGAAUUUUGCCAUUUGCAUCCCAGAUGGAAUGGCUAAUUUUACAAGCAACUACAUCCCAAAUGGCAUAGCUAAUUUUACAAACCACACGAUGUUCAAACCAGUUUCCAGGCUUUCCUCUCGGUUUAUCAGACGUUUUCCCAAUACUGAGUUAAUUCUCAUGUUUGUGGGCGUAGCCCUGUUCAUAUCACUCUCCCUGAAUGUAUUCCAAUACAGGAGUAGUAAGCAGGAGUCUCCUCCAAAACCAGAGAAUGCUGACUGGCAGGGAAUAUGGAGAGGUUUAGGAAAAAUCUUAGAAGCAUGGGAUUUCACUCUUGAACACCUGUGGGAUCCCAAGAAACUUAGCCAGUAUUUGAGUCAGGGACAGUGCGGCUUACAUAAAUCUAAGGAGGUACAACUUAUUUGGGGUUUGGCUUGUGCUUACCGUGCCCUAUAUAAUACUGUUCUGGAGAGAGAGAGUUUCCGAGCUGAGGUUCAAGCCAAAGGGGAGAAUCUCCAAGUCAAAUCUGAUCAAAUACAGGAGACACCAGUAACAAUAUCAGUUGCCCCUGUGGAGGGCAAGAAAUGGAAACGAGAGUCCUCGCGUCUAGAACGGAAAAAAGAGGAGGAGGAGGUGGAGGAAGAUCCAGGUGAGGGGCCCUCCUCGGAACCACCAACAUUAAGAAAAGCAAAAGGAAAAACUAAGAGACAUGCAGAGGAGAGUGAUGAAGAGGAAGUCUCUAUUACUACUUGUCGGCCUCUGAAGAUGACUGAAAUCCAAGGCUCAAGAAAGGAAUUUACACAGCGUCCAAAUGAAACUCUCGUUUCCUGGUUAGUUCGCUGUUGGGACAGUGGGGCCAGUAGCUUGUCUUUAGAUGGUAAUGAAACUCGCCAACUAGGAGCUAUUGCCAGAGAUCCAGCUAUUGACAGAGGAAUUAGUCGAUGUCUGGAAGGGGCUGCCUCCAUCUGGGAACGAGUAUUAAUAGCCGUGAAGGAAAGGUACCCCUUCAAAGACGGCUUGAAGCCUGUGACGAAAAGGUGGGAUACAGUUGAAAAGGGUAUCCAGUAUUUGAGGGAAACAGCCGUGGUGGAAAUGUUGUAUGACCCUAACUGUGUUUUUAACGACCCACGCCAAGACCACGACCCUGAGAAAGUGAGGACGAUGCCUGAAAUAUGGCAGAAACUCACAACAGCACCAGACAGAUACACCACUACACUAAUGGCAACGUUUGACAGAUACCAGGAUCAACAGAGAAGACCCUUAGUUUUUGAAUUCACAGAAUCACAGAAUCACAGAAUCGUAGGGGUUGGAAGGGACCUCCAGAGAUCAUCAAGUCCAACCCCCCUGCCAAAGCAGGAUCCCUACACCAGGUCACACAGGUAG